Molecule: unclassified non-coding RNA, 336 nt
Filed under: soil metagenome
Description: partial contains 5.8S ribosomal RNA, internal transcribed spacer 2, and large subunit ribosomal RNA
Rfam family: 5.8S ribosomal RNA (bases 1-120)
Source: RNAcentral
GAUGAAGAACGUAGCGAAAUGCGAUAAGUAAUGUGAAUUGCAGAAUUCAGUGAAUCAUCGAAUCUUUGAACGCACAUUGCGCCCGCUGGUAUUCCGGCGGGCAUGCCUGUUCGAGCGUCAUUUGUACCUUCAAGCUUUGCUUGGUGUUGGGUGUUUGUCUCGCCUUUGCGUGUAGACUCGCCUUAAAAUAAUUGGCAGCCGGCGUAUUGAUUUCGGAGCGCAGUACAUCUCGCGCUUUGCACUCAUAACGACAGCGUCCAAAAGUACAUUUUACACUCUUGACCUCGGAUCAGGUAGGGAUACCCGCUGAACUUAAGCAUAUCAAUAAGCGGAGGA